Molecule: long non-coding RNA, 1083 nt
Filed under: Coturnix japonica (Japanese quail)
Lineage: Eukaryota; Metazoa; Chordata; Aves; Galliformes; Phasianidae
Description: lncRNA (ENSCJPG00005005258.1)
Source: RNAcentral
AUGCUGAGUGGAUCCAGUAGCAUAGAUUUCAGAGCAACAGCCCCAGGAUUUCCUUACCACAGCUGUGUUUCCCAUGCUGAUCUUACCUUGUCUGUCUUUGCAGCAAUGGCUCCCCGGAUAAGACUGAGUGUUUCAAAGCCUCUCCCAACCAUCUGCGAGGAGGCAAUGGAAGACGUAACCAGCAACCCAAAGCACACUGCAAACACUUCAACCAACCCAGAUCUGUACUCUAGCAAUGAUUAUAUUCAAUCUAUCUGCCACCUUGCCAGACCCACCUUCCCAGGCAUUCCUGAAAGCAGCCAUAGGGUUCAGGACAGAAGAAUCCUGCAGACCCUGGAAGCCAUGUCAUGGUCCCCAUCCCAGCAAGAAACGUCAAUGUGUAAACUGACCAAUUUAAUCUCAAAUGUGAUGCCGCUGGGAAAAGCUGCGUCUGCUCCUGAUGAUGCAGAAGCCGACUUCUGGUCCAGACGGGACCCCCUGGCAGAGAUCUACAGGCACACGGGAAAUCUUUGCUCCUCCAAGGGUUUGUGGAGCAAAAGCUCCAGCACUGACUCCUCCCAGUGCACCUCCUCCAGCCACCUGGGCUCCCUUCAUCCCCCAGCCAUGAAAGAAGAAGCUGCAGGGAAACCACAUUUCCCACGAAUGUUCAGUUUUCCAAGGUUUCCCUCUCCAAGGCCAAUGCAGAAAGAAACGCUCUGCUCAGAGCUGAGGUGUCUCAGAAAGGAUGAGGGGAUGGUUGUAGGGAGCAAUCACAGCCAGAAAGAAGAUACUCCCAGGUUUAUUAACACUGAAGAGCUAUUGCUGUGCUCGGCCAGAGGGAAGCUACUGGGAAAUCGGGCUUUGCGCUGCUCUGUAAGGAGGCAGGGUUUGUUUGAGGCAGCAGGUGCUGAUGAAAAAGAAGGGAGAGGAACUUCUCACUGUGACAAAAACGCAGUGGGUGAUGUUCCCAGUAAACAGAGAUACUCCGAGUGCUUCCGGGCAGCUAAAAAAGCCGUGAUCCAUAAUUGGAUUUCAGAGCACAGAUGCAUGUGGAAAGAAGCAAAGAUAAAGGCUUGUUUGCUCCCAGCCAUUGCUGAAGUGUGA